Molecule: ribosomal RNA, 360 nt
Filed under: uncultured bacterium
Lineage: Bacteria
Description: bacterial SSU rRNA
Rfam family: Bacterial small subunit ribosomal RNA
Source: RNAcentral
AACGAACGCUGGCGGCAGGCCUAACACAUGCAAGUCGAACGCCGUAGCAAUACGGAGUGGCAGACGGGUGAGUAACACGUGGGAACAUACCCUUCGGUUCGGAAUAACUCAGGGAAACUUGAGCUAAUACCGGAUACGUCCGCGAGGAGAAAGAUUCAUCGCCGGAGGAUUGGCCCGCGUCUGAUUAGCUUGUUGGUGAGGUAACGGCUCACCAAGGCGACGAUCAGUAGCNGGUCUGAGAGGAUGAUCAGCCACAUUGGGACUGAGACACGGCCCAAACUCCUACGGGAGGCAGCAGUGGGGAAUAUUGGACAAUGGGCGCAAGCCUGAUCCAGCCAUGCCGCGUGCGGGAAGAAGGCC